GGAGUGCUUGCACUCUGUGAAACAAGAUACAGGCUAGCGGCGGACGGGUGAGUAACACGUGGGUAACCUGCCCAAGAGAUCGGGAUAACACCUGGAAACAGAUGCUAAUACCGGAUAACAACAGAUGAUGCCUAUCAACUGUUUAAAAGAUGGUUCUGCUAUCACUCUUGGAUGGACCUGCGGUGCAUUAGCUAGUUGGUAGGGUAACGGCCUACCAAGGCGAUGAUGCAUAGCCGAGUUGAGAGACUGAUCGGCCACAUUGGGACUGAGACACGGCCCAAACUCCUACGGGAGGCAGCAGUAGGGAAUCUUCCACAAUGGACGCAAGUCUGAUGGAGCAACGCCGCGUGAGUGAAGAAGGGUUUCGGCUCGUAAAGCUCUGUUGUUGGUGAAGAAGGACAGGGGUAGUAACUGACCUUUGUUUGACGGUAAUCAAUUAGAAAGUCACGGCUAACUACGUGCCAGCAGCCGCGGUAAUACGUAGGUGGCAAGCGUUGUCCGGAUUUAUUGGGCGUAAAGCGAGUGCAGGCGGUUCGAUAAGUCUGAUGUGAAAGCCUUCGGCUCAACCGGAGAAUUGCAUCAAAAACU
Molecule: ribosomal RNA, 588 nt
Filed under: uncultured bacterium
Lineage: Bacteria
Description: bacterial SSU rRNA
Rfam family: Bacterial small subunit ribosomal RNA
Source: RNAcentral